UACGUAGGGUGCAAGCGUUAAUCGGAAUUACUGGGCGUAAAGCGUGCGCAGGCGGUUUUGUAAGUCUGUCGUGAAAUCCCCGGGCUCAACCUGGGGAUGGCGAUGAAGACUGCAAGGCUAGAGUUUGGCAGAGGGGGGUAGAAUUCCACGUGUAGCAGUGAAAUGCGUAGAUAUGUGGAGGAACACCGAUGGCGAAGGCAGCCCCCCUGGGUCAAAACUGACGCUCAUGCACGAAAGCGUGGGGAGCAAACAGG
Molecule: ribosomal RNA, 254 nt
Filed under: uncultured bacterium
Lineage: Bacteria
Description: partial 16S ribosomal RNA
Rfam family: Bacterial small subunit ribosomal RNA
Source: RNAcentral